This is a non-coding RNA of Jatropha curcas, 1758 nucleotides long. NCBI's taxonomy places the organism in Eukaryota, Viridiplantae, Streptophyta, Magnoliopsida, Malpighiales, Euphorbiaceae. The record is from RefSeq and is a predicted model, not a curated record.
CAACUAUAGCCACAUUGAUUUUUGGUUUUUGUACAUAUGAAAAGCAGUAUUAUGUGUAAAUUGCAGCAAUAUAACAAUACAUAUCCAUUCAAAAUCAAAAUGGUUAAUUUGUAAAACCGCAGCAAACUCAAUUUGCAUCCAUGAAAAGUCUAAUUAGUUGCUCCUCUCUCCCACGUUUUUUUCUCAAGAGUAAAUACUUCUCUUCUUCUUCUUCUUCUUCUUCUUUGGAGGUUUCACCAUGGUCCGGUCUCCAAGCAUGGCGGGAUAGUCCGCUCAAUGAGAACCGCUUCUGGGGACCUAAUGGUCCAGAGUCUCGACCGCUGUCGUCGCCCUCUUCAAUUGUCGCCAAUGAAUAUGGAAUUGGGUCUGCUUCCUCUCUUGCAGAGCUUGGAGCUAUUGUUCUCUCCACUAGUGACCCCCUCACAAAAUCCAAACUUUCUCAUCUUGCUUUCUCCAGGUGGCGCAACGAGAAGCUUCCUAUUGGGGAUUUUGCCCCUCCUUCUAAACCUGCUCGUCCUCUUAAACCCGAAUUGGUUUCACCAAAGGAAAUUCCAGCCCCCAAAGAUUCUGGCUUACCUCUCAAUGCUUAUACGCUCCACAAUCUUGCUCAUGUGGAGCUUAAUGCAAUUGAUUUGGCAUGGGAUACAGUUGUUCGAUUUUCACCUUUUAGUGAGACUCUAGAAGAAGGAUUCUUUGCUGACUUUGCACAUGUUGCCGAUGAUGAGAGUCGCCAUUUUGCUUGGUGUUCCCAGAGACUUGCUGAGCUUGGUUUCAAGUAUGGAGAUAUGCCUGCUCAUAAUUUGUUGUGGAGGGAGUGUGAAAAAUCAUCUAACAAUGUUGCGGCAAGGUUGGCUGCAAUCCCACUUGUCCAGGAGGCGAGAGGACUUGAUGCUGGACCUAGACUGGUACAAAAAUUGAUUGGUUUUGGAGACUCCAAGACAUCUAAGAUUGUGGUUAGAAUUGCAGAUGAGGAAGUUGCACAUGUUGCUGUUGGUGUCUAUUGGUUUGUCUCUGUCUGUCAGAAAUUAGGCCGUGCCCCUUGUUCCACUUUUAAAGACUUGUUAAGGGAGUACAAUGUGGAGAUAAAAGGGCCCUUCAAUUAUUCAGCUAGAGAUGAAGCUGGGAUUCCCCGGGAUUGAAUAUCAAUCUUCUUUUGAAGCUGCAUGUAAAGAUAGCUAUUUUUAUUGAGCUUCUUUUAUUCUCUGCUGUGAAGGUAUGAUGCAUCAGUUACAAAUAAACAAGACAACAAUGAUAGACACGGUGCAAAUGAACAGCUUACUGCGGUUUAUGGGAGACUUGCCUCUAUCAUCUCCAUGGAGUGUGAUAAUGCAAGUUUGAACAAGCGCCCAGGUUGAUUCUUCUAUCAUAGAAGCAUAGGAGCUCAAGCUCAAGAAUGUUGUACUGGAUAUUAACAUAACUCCAGGAAUGUCAUUCUUGGAAUUUGGAAUUGCAGCACCGCUUUAAUCUCGAGUCAGGCAGGAGAGGCGAAAAGCAAGAGAGUAUCAUAUCCAUAUCAGACUACUCGUCUUAUUGGAGAUCAAUUCCUGGCAGCCUAGUUAUGCCUGCCCUUUCUGGAAGUCAAUUGGUUUUUGGUAGAACUAACAUAGUUUUACUUGAUUUUUGGAAUGGCAAAUGCAAUUAAAUCAGUAGAUAAUGUUGUGGAUCUCUUAAAGCUUUAAUUGCUCAACCAAAAUUUUAUUGAUCCAUUAGAAGUAAACUGCGCAGGUCCAUUUAAUUGAAAAAGUUAUUCUGUGACAA